Molecule: transfer RNA, 74 nt
Filed under: Prochlorococcus sp.
Lineage: Bacteria; Bacillati; Cyanobacteriota; Cyanophyceae; Synechococcales; Prochlorococcaceae
Also listed under: 1 other name
Description: tRNA-Arg
Rfam family: tRNA
About the family: Transfer RNA (tRNA) molecules are approximately 80 nucleotides in length. Their secondary structure includes four short double-helical elements and three loops (D, anti-codon, and T loops). Further hydrogen bonds mediate the characteristic L-shaped molecular structure. tRNAs have two regions of fundamental functional importance: the anti-codon, which is responsible for specific mRNA codon recognition, and the 3' end, to which the tRNAs corresponding amino acid is attached (by aminoacyl-tRNA synthetases). tRNAs cope with the degeneracy of the genetic code in two manners: having more than one tRNA (with a specific anti-codon) for a particular amino acid; and 'wobble' base-pairing, i.e. permitting non-standard base-pairing at the 3rd anti-codon position.
Source: RNAcentral
GCUCCCUUAGCUCAGCUGGAUAGAGCAACUGCCUUCUAAGCAGUCGGCCGAUGGUUCGAAUCCAUCAGGGGGCG